GAAGGGUGCAAGCGUUACUCGGAAUUACUGGGCGUAAAGCGUGCGUAGGUGGUUGUUUAAGUCUGUUGUGAAAGCCCUGGGCUCAACCUGGGAAUUGCAGUGGAUACUGGGCGACUAGAGUGUGGUAGAGGGUAGUGGAAUUCCCGGUGUAGCAGUGAAAUGCGUAGAGAUCGGGAGGAACAUCCAUGGCGAAGGCAGCUACCUGGACCAACACUGACACUGAGGCACGAAAGCGUGGGGAGCAAACAGGAUUAGAUACCCUGGUAGUCCACGCCCUAAACGAUGCGAACUGGAUGUUGGGUGCAAUUUGGCACGCAGUAUCGAAGCUAACGCGUUAAGUUCGCCGCCUGGGAGUACGGUCGCAAGACUG
RNAcentral lists this ribosomal RNA (370 nucleotides) under uncultured organism. RNAcentral describes it as "partial 16S ribosomal RNA". It matches the Rfam family "Bacterial small subunit ribosomal RNA", at positions 527 to 896 of the family's 1533-position model. The record is from RNAcentral.